UAUAGCUCAGUAGUAGAGCUUUGGCCUGGCAUGCCCAAGACCUUGGGUUCAGUCCCCAGUA
This 61-nucleotide transfer RNA is filed under the name Cavia porcellus (domestic guinea pig). It matches the Rfam family "tRNA", at positions 6 to 65 of the family's 71-position model. From Rfam's summary of the family: Transfer RNA (tRNA) molecules are approximately 80 nucleotides in length. Their secondary structure includes four short double-helical elements and three loops (D, anti-codon, and T loops). The record is from Rfam by way of RNAcentral. Lineage: Eukaryota; Metazoa; Chordata; Mammalia; Rodentia; Caviidae.